This is a long non-coding RNA of Dendroctonus ponderosae (mountain pine beetle), 820 nucleotides long. RefSeq lists it as uncharacterized. The record is from RefSeq and is a predicted model, not a curated record. The transcript has 2 exons. NCBI's taxonomy places the organism in Eukaryota, Metazoa, Arthropoda, Insecta, Coleoptera, Curculionidae.
AUCUGGGAUGAAAACUCGAACAUUCCACCUCAAACUCAACCCAAAGCAAAGCGUCUGCUUGCGAUUUGUUAAACGUUCUAAUUGUCUGCAUAAUCGGUCCAUAAUUUAAAUAAUCGACAUGAAUUAAGGUCAAUUUUUCAAAAACUUAGUCUUCUGCUGUUUAAAACUCUAUUAACAGCACGACAUUUUACAUCAAUGGGCUUCAAGUUUAUUCCUUCCUAGUUAGCAAACCGCCAUCUGUAAAAUUCAUCACUAAUUUGUUUUUUGUAUCCAUUCCAGAUAGGAGACCGACUGUUUGUGGGAGCCCCCGGAAGCUACUACUGGCAAGGGCAAAUGUACUCUAUCGAUGCCAACUCCAGAUUUAACUAUACACCGGGCCUGCUAGGCACGACGUACGGCGCCAAAGGUAUUUCUUAGCUAGCGUCGGACAUACAUACCAUUUUCUAAUAUGCGCCGCCCAAUCACUACUUAUUCAUUUCUUUGGAUGUGGUUUAGUGAGUCGUGGUUUUCUAAAGGACUGUAAUCUAGACACUUGAAUUCAUCCAGAUUGUUGGAAAAAUCGCCUUCGUCUAGUUGCUUGCUGUUUACUUUUUCUCUGUUCUGUUACUCCCACUGCACACAAAUUUGACCAUGCACCACGUCUUGUUAAGCCACCCCAGACUAAUAAAAUAAAAACCAACGACGCAGCAUCUUCAACUUAUUACCAUGUUAUACCAUUUGGUGUAGGAGUGUUAACUUCCAGGGUGCAGUGUUCUACUAAUGGUCAUUCUUAAUCCAGUACUAAAUUUGUUUAGGCUUUCAAUAAACAUACUAAAUUUGA